CAUGAACUGCGAGAUCAUGACCUGAGCCGAAGUCAGAUGCUUCACCGACGGAACUACCCAGGCACCCCUUCCUGGAAUGUAUUUAAUUGCGGAUCCUUUCAUUCCUUAAGAAACAAGCUGCCAUGUUGUAAGAGGGGCUGUCAACAGAGCCAUGUGGCAGGGAACUGUGGGUGACCUCUAGGAGCUGACCAGUAGCCAACAAGAAGUCGAGGCCCAAGGCCCUCAGCCCUACAGCUGCAAGGAAAUAAAUCUACAGACAACCUGAGUACACUAGGAAGUGGAUUCUUCCCCAGUCAAGCCUGUGGAUGAGAACCCAGUCCUAACUGACCGUGGUUGCAGCCUUGUGAGAGUCUACACGAAGGACCCAGAGUCCUGACCCAUGGUAAUUGUGAGGACUGCCUUUAUGGGAGUGGAGAGCCAGAUGGCAGGAGGUUUCUCUCCUAGACCAAUCAGCAUGUCCACAGGUUUUGCCCCCUCCAGCCACAGCUUGCUUCCAGCUCUCUCCCUACCUGAAUCAACAGCAGUGCCAGGACGAGCAGGGUGAAGGCUGCGGAUGCCCAGGAACUUACCCUUCGUACAGAGUGAGACUCUUCUGACCUCCGAGAGCUGUAUCCACGAUGCCCAGACAGAACCACGGUGUAUUGUGCUGUGAGCUUUCUGCUGCAAAAAUCCAAUAAGUUGUUUUGCAUAUAUACCCAUAUUUCUUCAUUGAUUUAAUAAAAGGUGGGGGGAGGG
Molecule: long non-coding RNA, 735 nt
Organism: Lynx canadensis (Canada lynx)
Lineage: Eukaryota; Metazoa; Chordata; Mammalia; Carnivora; Felidae
Exons: 3
Source: RefSeq, a predicted model, not a curated record